CUCGGUGUGAAUUCAUCAGGCUAAUUAAAAGAGAAAGUGUGCCCUGAAAUGGGGUAAAAAAUACUUCCUUCCUGGGGUUCAGGUAAGAAGAUGUCAGCUUUUACUCCAAGGAAAA
This is a long non-coding RNA of Myotis davidii, 115 nucleotides long. RefSeq lists it as uncharacterized. NCBI's taxonomy places the organism in Eukaryota, Metazoa, Chordata, Mammalia, Chiroptera, Vespertilionidae. The record is from RefSeq and is a predicted model, not a curated record. The transcript is spliced from 2 exons.